GUUACUGCUAACGGUGUUCGCCUAAGCCAUGCGAGUCAUAUGUAGCAAUACAUGGCGUACUGCUCAGCAACACGUGGAUAACCUGCCCUUGGGACCGGCAUAACCCCGGGAAACUGGGGAUAAUUCCGGAUAACGCAUAUUUGCUGGAAUGCUUUAUGCGUCAAAAGGAUUCGUCUGCCCAAGGAUGGGUCUGCGGCCUAUCAGGUAGUAGUGGGUGUAAUGUACCUACUANCCAGCGACGGGUACGGGUUGUGAGAGCAAGAGCCCGGAGAUGGAUUCUGAGACAUGAAUCCAGGCCCUACGGGGCGCAGCAGGCGCGAAAACUUUACAAUGCGGGAAACCGUGAUAAGGGGACACCGAGUGCCAGCAUCAUAUGCUGGCUGUCCGGAUGUGUAAAAUACAUCCGUUAGCAAGGGCCGGGCAAGACCGGUGCCAGCCGCCGCGGUAACACCGGCGGCCCGAGUGGUGAUCGUGAUUAUUGGGUCUAAAGGGUCCGUAGCCGGUUUGGUCAGUCCUCCGGGAAAUCUGAUAGCUCAACUAUUAGGCUUUCGGGGGAUACUGCCAGACUUGGAACCGGGAGAGGUAAGAGGUACUACAGGGGUAGGAGUGAAAUCUUGUAAUCCCUGUGGGACCACCUGUGGCGAAGGCGUCUUACCAGAACGGGUUCGACGGUGAGGGACGAAAGCUGGGGGCACGAACCGGAUUAGAUACCCGGGUAGUCCCAGCCGUAAACGAUGCUCGCUAGGUGUCAGGCAUGGCGCGACCGUGUCUGGUGCCGCAGGGAAGCCGUGAAGCGAGCCACCUGGGAAGUACGGCCGCAAGGCUGAAACUUAAAGGAAUUGGCGGGGGAGCACAACAACGGGUGGAGCCUGCGGUUUAAUUGGACUCAACGCCGGACAACUCACCGGGGGCGACAGCAAUAUGUAGGCCAAGCUGAAGACUUUGCCUGAAUCGCUGAGAGGAGGUGCAUGGCCGUCGCCAGUUCGUACUGUGAAGCAUCCUGUUAAGUCAGGCA
RNAcentral lists this ribosomal RNA (1015 nucleotides) under uncultured archaeon. RNAcentral's name for it is "bacterial SSU rRNA". It matches the Rfam family "Archaeal small subunit ribosomal RNA", at positions 23 to 1040 of the family's 1478-position model. The record is from RNAcentral.